GACAGAGGGGGCAAGCGUUGCUCGGAAUCACUGGGCGUAAAGGGCGCGUAGGCGGUUCUGUAAGUCCCGCGUGAAAUCCCCCGGCUCAACUGGGGAACUGCGCGGGAAACUGUGGGGCUUGAGUUCGGGAGAGGGAAGCGGAAUUCCGGGUGUAGCGGUGAAAUGCGUAGAUAUCCGGAGGAACACCGGUGGCGAAGGCGGCUUCCUGGACCGACACUGACGCUGAGGCGCGAAAGCUAGGGGAGCAAACGGG
Molecule: ribosomal RNA, 253 nt
Filed under: uncultured bacterium
Lineage: Bacteria
Description: partial 16S ribosomal RNA
Rfam family: Bacterial small subunit ribosomal RNA
Source: RNAcentral